Molecule: ribosomal RNA, 496 nt
Filed under: uncultured bacterium
Lineage: Bacteria
Description: partial 16S ribosomal RNA
Rfam family: Bacterial small subunit ribosomal RNA
Source: RNAcentral
GAUGAACGCUGGCGGCGUGCCUAAUACAUGCGAGUCGAGCGAACAGACGAGGAGCUUGCUCCUCUGACGUUAGCGGCGGACGGGUGAGUAACACGUGGAUAACCUACCUAUAAGACUGGGAUAACUUCGGGAAACCGGAGCUAAUACCGGAUAAUAUAUUGAACCGCAUGGUUCAAUAGUGAAAGACGGUUUUGCUGUCACUUAUAGAUGGAUCCGCGCCGCAUUAGCUAGUUGGUAAGGUAACGGCUUACCAAGGCAACGAUGCGUAGCCGACCUGAGAGGGUGAUCGGCCACACUGGAACUGAGACAGGUCCAGACUCCUACGGGAGGCAGCAGUAGGGAAUCUUCCGCAAUGGGCGAAAGCCUGACGGAGCAACGCCGCGUGAGUGAUGAAGGUCUUCGGAUCGUAAAACUCUGUUAUUAGGGAAGAACAAAUGUGUAAGUAACUAUGCACGUCUUGACGGUACCUAAUCAGAAAGCCACGGCUAACUACGUG